UACGAGUGCCUCAAGCGUUAUCCGGAAUUAUUGGGCGUAAAGGGUGUGUGGGCGGCUUUGUUAGUCUAAUGUCAAAACCAGGGGCUCAACCUCUGAUCUGCAUUGGAAACGGCAGAGCUCGAGUGCGCGAGGGGUUUGCGGAACUCAUGGUGUAGGGGUGAAAUCCGUUGAUAUCAUGGGGAACACCGAAAGCGAAGGCAGCAAACUGGCGCGUCACUGACGCUGAAACACGAAAGCGUGGGUAGCGAAUGGG
This 253-nucleotide ribosomal RNA is filed under the name uncultured bacterium. RNAcentral's name for it is "partial 16S ribosomal RNA". It matches the Rfam family "Bacterial small subunit ribosomal RNA", at positions 524 to 776 of the family's 1533-position model. The record is from RNAcentral.